GGUUGUAUAGCUCAGUGGUAGAGGGUGUGCUUCGCAUGCACGAGGUCCUGGGUUCAGUCCCCGUAUCUCCA
This 71-nucleotide transfer RNA is filed under the name Camelus bactrianus (Bactrian camel). It matches the Rfam family "tRNA". From Rfam's summary of the family: Transfer RNA (tRNA) molecules are approximately 80 nucleotides in length. Their secondary structure includes four short double-helical elements and three loops (D, anti-codon, and T loops). Lineage: Eukaryota; Metazoa; Chordata; Mammalia; Artiodactyla; Camelidae. RNAcentral also lists the same sequence under 1 other name. The record is from Rfam by way of RNAcentral.